AAAAUACAAAUUUGAGGCAAGUUUAGGUGGUCAGUAAGAGGAGCUGCGUUUUUUAAUUAAUAUUUUUUUAAUUAUUUUUUUUUAUCUCUAGCAGUCUUAGAUCAACUUGAACUCCUUGUUUAGCUAGUUACAACUGCAGUAAUUGUUCGAGAACUAAUUUUGAGACUCUUCCUAUUAGGACUCAAUCAUGUCUCCUACUUAGGGUAGGACUAGUUAAUUUCCUAAUUUAUCUUUAUUUUCCUAAUGUAU
This 249-nucleotide unclassified non-coding RNA is filed under the name Hevea brasiliensis (rubber tree). The record is from RNAcentral. Lineage: Eukaryota; Viridiplantae; Streptophyta; Magnoliopsida; Malpighiales; Euphorbiaceae.